UCGGAAAAAAUGACAUUCUGCAUUCAUUCAAACGUCAUUCAUACAUGUCUAGUUAGGAGCAUUUAAUUCUUUCUGAUCAUGACAUCCUAAUCACUAGGCAUAAUUAGGUUCAUAACUUGAAUUUUACAGGUCAUGUUCCCUAGAGAACCAAACUGAUAAAACUUCAGCCUUAUCUCCUUGAGCAGCAGUAGAGUAGAUUGAAAAUAGUAGAUUUUUAUUUCCUUAGCGUUGUAGCGGAGCAGAUUGAAGUCACAACGGCGGAUCUGGUUUCCCCGACAGCGCAAUUAAAAGAUUGAAGCCACAACGGCGGAUCUUACUUCCUUGGCGGUGCAGCGGAGCAGAUUGAAGUCACAACGGCGGAUCUAGUUUCCCCGACAGCGUAAUUAAAAGAUUGAAGCCACAACGGCGGAUCUUACUUCCCUAGCGGUGCAGCGGAGCAGAUUGAAGUCACAACGACGGAUCUGGUUUCCCCGACAGCGUAAUUAAAAAGAUUGAAGCCACAACGGCGGAUCUUACUUCCCUAGCGGUGCAGCAGAGCAGAUUGGAGUCACAACGACGGAUCUGGUUUCCUCGACAGUGCAAUUAAAAAGAUUGAAGCCACAACGGCAGAUCUUACUUCCCUAGCGGUGCAGCAGAACAGAUUGAAGUCACAACGACGGAUCUGGUUUCCUCGACAGUGCAAUUAAAAAGAUUGAAGCCACAACGGCAGAUUUUACUUCUCUGGCGGUGCAAUGGAGUAGAUUGAAGUCACAACGGCAGAUCUGGUUUCCUCGACAGUGCAAUUAAAAAGAUUGAAGCCACAACGGCGGAUCUUACCUCCUUAGUAGUGUAGUUGAACAGAUUGAAGCUACGACGGCGGAUCUUGUUUCCUCGACAUUGGAAUUGGAUAAAUUGAAUAAGAUAAUCCUAUCCCCCUGAAGAUGCAGUGGAGCGGAUUAACACCACGGAUAUUACCUUUCUAAAAUUGCAGUAAAGCAGAUAGUAUCAGACUCAUCUUUGAAGUUGCAGCAGAAUAAGUUAAAGUUACGAGUCUUAUCUCACUGAAGUUACGGUGGAGCAGACUAGAGAUUGCAAGUUUUGUUCUUUUGAGAAGCCACAAAGUACAAGUCCUAUCUCUUUGAUGUUGCAGUGGAGUGGAUUGAAGCACCGAUUCCUAUACCUCUGCAGACGCAGUAGAUUGGAAUGAGGCUAUUUGAAGAGCGCUAAGGUCCAGUAUGCCCGGGCAAAAUUGGCCAUCUUAAAGUCUUUGCUCUGUUCCCGUUACACGACAACGAGCAAAGAGGGGCAGCUGUAAUAGCCCAUUUUUGCCCGGCCCAUUCAAAAUAAGACCAACCCAAAAUCAUAACACUGCCCAAAUUAAAUACAAUUAAAUCCAAUAAAACUUAGGCUAAGCUUAACCCAAUUACAGGGCCCAAUUAACCCACUAGCCUAAAACACAAAACAGAGAAACCUAGCAGCAAAAUCAACAGCCGCGGUAACCUCACCCACGCCUCAACAUCGCCCCACGUUCAGCACUUUGCGCACGUCUUCCACGACUUUCAUACCUACGAAAAACUGAUCCAAACGGCAAUGGAUGAAAAAUAACAGAAUAGAUUUUUAUUUAUUGUUUUUUAUUAUUAUUUGGGGGGGAUAUAAAAAGGUGAUUUUAAUUUGUAAAAGGGGGUUAGCAAAAUUUUUAUACCGAAAUCAAAAAGAAAAUAGACGGAAAGAAACAUUUUUGAAGGUGGGAUCUUGUUUUCUUUCUCGGUUCUUUUACUGUUUUUUUUAAUUUACCUUGUUCUUUUCUUUUGCUUCUUUUUAAAAAAAAUAACAAAAAUAAACGAAGAGGGAGAGAAAGGGGGCUUACCUGGUGUCGCCGGAGCGUCGUCGGAGGCCAAGGGACGGCUUAGCGGCGGUGGAUCUUUGACGGUGGCGACGUGUGGGGAGGGUGCUAAGAAAAACCUAGCAGAGAACCCCCCUUUUCCUCUCUGUUCUUUAAAGAAAAUGGAAUAAAGAUGUUUUUAAAGGAAAUUUUUUUUCUUUUUUCCUUAUUUUUUUUAUAUUAACGAAAAGUGGUGCCGUUUAAUGGCCAUUGAUUGGUUUUUUAUUCAAAGGGUUUAUUUUCGAAACUGGUCCUUUC
Molecule: long non-coding RNA, 2119 nt
Filed under: Gossypium raimondii (Peruvian cotton)
Lineage: Eukaryota; Viridiplantae; Streptophyta; Magnoliopsida; Malvales; Malvaceae
Description: long non-coding RNA (GRAI_LNC004607)
Source: RNAcentral